UACGAAGGGGGCUAGCGUUGCUCGGAAUUACUGGGCGUAAAGCGCACGUAGGCGGCUUGUUAAGUCGGAGGUGAAAUCCUGGAGCUCAACUCCAGAACUGCCUUCGAUACUGGCGAGCUCGAGUCCGGGAGAGGGUGAGUGGAACUGCGAGUGUAGAGGUGAAAUUCGUAGAUAUUCGCAAGAACACCAGUGGCGAAGGCGGCUCACUGGCCCGGUACUGACGCUGAGGUGCGAAAGCGUGGGGAGCAAACAGG
Molecule: ribosomal RNA, 254 nt
Filed under: uncultured bacterium
Lineage: Bacteria
Description: partial 16S ribosomal RNA
Rfam family: Bacterial small subunit ribosomal RNA
Source: RNAcentral